AGCGAACGCUGGCGGCAGGCCUAACACAUGCAAGUCGAACGAACCUUUCGGGGUUAGUGGCGGACGGGUGAGUAACACGUGGGAACGUGCCUUUAGGUUCGGAAUAACUCAGGGAAACUUGUGCUAAUACCGAAUGUGCCCUUCGGGGGAAAGAUUAAUCGCCUUUAGAGCGGCCCGCGUCUGAUUAGCUAGUUGGUUGAGGUAAUGGCUCACCAAGGCGACGAUCAGUAGCUGGUCUGAGAGGAUGAUCAGCCACAUUGGGACUGAGACACGGCCCAAACUCCUACGGGAGGCAGCAGUGGGGAAUCUUGCGCAAUGGGCGAAAGCCUGACGCAGCCAUGCCGCGUGAAUGAUGAAGGUCUUAGGAUUGUAAAAUUCUUUCACCGGGGACGAUAAUGACGGUACCCGGAGAAGAAGCCCCGGCUAACUUC
Molecule: ribosomal RNA, 431 nt
Filed under: uncultured bacterium
Lineage: Bacteria
Description: partial 16S ribosomal RNA
Rfam family: Bacterial small subunit ribosomal RNA
Source: RNAcentral